Molecule: long non-coding RNA, 642 nt
Filed under: Callithrix jacchus (white-tufted-ear marmoset)
Lineage: Eukaryota; Metazoa; Chordata; Mammalia; Primates; Cebidae
Description: lncRNA (ENSCJAG00000064385.2)
Source: RNAcentral
UGAUUGGGGUGUUUAAUCCAUUUAAAUUCAGGAUUAAUAUUGAUAUUUGUGAGUUUAAUGUUGUCAUUUAAUGCUGGCUGGCUAUUUUGCCCAUUAGUUGAUAUAGAUUCUUUAUUAUGGAGAUACUCUUUACCUUUUGGUAAGUUUUUGGGAUGACUGAUACUGGUUGUUCCUUUCUGUGUGUAGUGCUUCUUUCAGAAGCUCUUGUAAAGCAGGCCUGGUGGUGAUGAAAUCUCUGAGUUACUCUCCCUCAUUUAAAGUCAAUUGAUUCUGGACUUUAAUUAAUAUAAAAAUGUCUGCAUAGAAACAUUUUGAUUAGUGUUUGAAUGAAUAACUAAGUGCUGUAGCCCAGUCAAGUUAAACAUAAACUGACUAUCACUGCCUAUCCUUAGUCAACUUGGUACAAUCUCCAAGUAAAGACAAUACCAAAGUUGUUCUUCCACUUAACAUAAGUAUCCUGUUUACCACUGAAAACAUGCUCUUCCUUUUUCUCUGAAGAGGAUGUCAAGUUUUCAGGUUUGGGAGAAACAGACUUCAAUUUCCUCCAUUCAAUCGAUCCUUAGCUGUGGAUUUGUCAUCUACGACCUUUGUUGUUUUGAGAUGGAGACUCACUCUUGCCAUGUGGGCUGCACUUCAGCAUGA